Molecule: non-coding RNA, 149 nt
Filed under: Halomonas chromatireducens
Lineage: Bacteria; Pseudomonadati; Pseudomonadota; Gammaproteobacteria; Oceanospirillales; Halomonadaceae
Description: TPP sequence
Rfam family: TPP riboswitch aptamer (THI element)
About the family: Vitamin B(1) in its active form thiamin pyrophosphate (TPP) is an essential coenzyme that is synthesised by coupling of pyrimidine and thiazole moieties in bacteria. The previously detected thiamin-regulatory element, thi box was extended, resulting in a new, highly conserved RNA secondary structure, the THI element, which is widely distributed in eubacteria and also occurs in some archaea. Analysis of operon structures identified a large number of new candidate thiamin-regulated genes, mostly transporters, in various prokaryotic organisms.
Source: Rfam by way of RNAcentral
GGACGCUUGACGGGGUGCCGGUGAUUCCGGCUGAGAUGGCGCAGGGAGCCCAAGGGUGACCUCAGCGCCGAUCCCGUGGAACCUGAUCCGGGUGAGCAGGGCCGCUGGCCCCGCAUGAACCGGCGUAGGGAAUCAGGCGAAGGGGUUUG